GUGCCAGCAGCCGCGGUAAUACGGAAGGUCCGGGCGUUAUCCGGAUUUAUUGGGUUUAAAGGGAGCGCAGGCUGGCUGUUAACGUGCCGUGAAAUGUACCGGCUCAACCGGUGACUUGCGGCGCGAACUGGCGGUCUUGAGUGCGUGCGAGGAUGGCGGAAUUCGUGGUGUAGCGGUGAAAUGCUUAGAUAUCACGAAGAACUCCGAUUGCGAAGGCAGCUGUCCAGUCCGUAACUGACGCUAAUGCUCGAAGGUGCGGGUAUCGAACAGGAUUAGAUACCCUGGUAGUCCGCACGGUAAACGAUGGAUGCCCGCUGUCGGCGAUAUACAGUCGGUGGCUAAGCGAAAGCGUUAAGCAUCCCACCUGGGGAGUACGCCGGCAACGGUGAAACUCAAAGGAAUUGACGGGGGCCCGCACAAGCGGAGGAACAUGUGGUUUAAUUCGAUGAUACACGAGGAACCUUACCCGGGCUUGAACUGCAGCAGAACGAUCCAGAGAUGGUGAGGCCCUUCGGGGCUGCUGUGGAGGUGCUGCAUGGUUGUCGUCAGCUCGUGCCGUGAGGUGUCGGCUUAAGUGCCAUAACGAGCGCAACCCUUUUCAUCAGUUGCCAUCAGGCGAUGCUGGGCACUCUGGUGAUACUGCCACCGUAAGGUGUGAAGGAAGGUGGGGAUGACGUCAAAUCAGCACGGCCCUUACGUCCGGGGCUACACACGUGUUACAAUGGGUGGUACAGAGAGUAGGGUGUACGCAAGUGCUCUCCAAUCAUGAAAGCCAUCCUCAGUUCGGAUUGGGUCUGCAACCCGACCCCAUGAGGCUGGAUUCGCCAGUAAUCGCGCAUCAGCCAUGGCGCGGUGAAUACGUUCCCGGGCCUUGUACACACCGCCCGU
Molecule: ribosomal RNA, 888 nt
Filed under: uncultured rumen bacterium
Lineage: Bacteria
Description: bacterial SSU rRNA
Rfam family: Bacterial small subunit ribosomal RNA
Source: RNAcentral